Molecule: long non-coding RNA, 1798 nt
Organism: Triticum dicoccoides
Lineage: Eukaryota; Viridiplantae; Streptophyta; Magnoliopsida; Poales; Poaceae
Exons: 11
Source: RefSeq, a predicted model, not a curated record
UGAUUUCGUCCAUAGGUCAAAAUGGUCAAAUUUGCCUCCGCUCACAAGGGCCUGUCGUUGCUGUGGGAGCCUCUGACCGCACCAUCCCUGUUCUUUUUCUUCUUCUACUACCUACUGCUGCCGUUGCUUGGUCUCUCAAGGGCACCUACUGCUGACAGAAGGCGAAAGGGCUGGUAUGAUAAAGAGACCACUCUUCUGGUUCUUAUAGGUUGCUCUCUAAUGGAAGUUCUGCCAUUCAGGGCACAGCAUGGAGCUCUGGGGUGGGUAGAAGCCAACAUAUAUAGGCAUUGUUGAAUUUUGUCGAUUAAUUUAUUAACCAUCAGGGGACUUCCUGCUCCGCUCGCAAGGACCUGCCGUUGCCGUGGGAGCCUCCGACCGCACCAUCCUUGUUCUUCUUCUUCUACUACCCACUGCUAUCGUUGUUUGGUCUCUCAAGGGCACCCACUGCAGCACUGUUGACAGACGGCGAAGGGCUGGUAUGAUGAGGAAACUGCACUUCUGGUUCUAUGGGUUGCUCUCUAAUGGAAGGUGUGCUUUGUGUGUUGUUUUCAUGAAGCGGUUCUGCCUGGAUUCAUUGCUGGAGUCCCUGUGCGCCUCCAGGCCCGCUGCUGAGCUGUGCCUGGCACGCCUCACGACCUCAGUGUGGCUUGAUGGGUUACUGAAUGGGUACCGCCCUGCCCCUUUGGCACUGACACCGAUGGAAGAGCAGUUACUGCAUCAUAACCUUCAUGUUCGACAACAAUGGUUUUGUGAAGCUGCUCCACCACUACUCAAUUUUGGAAACCCUGGACGCUUGAGCAUGUGUCGCUGAUCUUUGGCCCCCACACCUUCGUUCGGCUUUGCUGGUGUGGUGAUUGAACUACGGUCACCGCUGUACCCCUUCGGCUUUGGUGCCAACGCCAACGGGAUGGCGUGUGCCAUAGCCUCCAUGUCUGGCUACUAUAUCUUGUCUGACUGCCUCCUCCCUGGCCACUAACCCGGCUUCACCGGCAGCGUGAUGGCAGCGGGUUGGCAACAAUUGUGGUGUUCGGCCACCUCUUCCUCAUUUCUCGCAUAAAGGGCACUGCUGCCCUCUCCAGGAAUUCUGCCGUCGAUGACCAUGACAAUGGUUUGGCUGCAACGUGGGGGUGGUGGCGACCCCAUCCUUGGUUCUGGCUUUUAUAUAAAGGGCUCUGCUGCUCCCUCAAGGAAUUCUGCUGUGUGAUGACAAUGGUUUGGCUGCAACCUGGGGGUGGUGGUGACCUCAUCCUUGGUUCUGAAAAAGUAGCUGAUUCUUUGAGGUCGCCUAACCUUCUGCAACUGCAGCAGAGGUGCUACCUCUUCCUCGGUUUGGGUGUGCUUUGUGUGUUGUUUUCAGUGAAGUGGUUCUACCUAGAUUCAUUGCUGGAGUCCCUGCCUGCCUCCAGACCUACUGCUGAGCUGUGCCCACCACACCUCAGUGUGGCUUGAUGGGGUGAUGAUUGAAUGGGCACCGCUGCGCCCCUUUGGCGCCGACACCGACACCGACACCGACAGGAGUGCGGUGGUUGCGUCACAACCUUCAUGUUUGGCUACAAUGGUUCUGGUGAGUCUCCCUAGUCUCCUCCUUCUCUGUGCCCUAGGAUGGACCGGUCAUCGAGCCUUGGCCGGUUGUCGUGCUGGCCGUUGAGACAAUGAUAUAGGGUCUCCAGUUCCGUUGUCAUGCUGUCUGUGGUGGUGGUCUUUUGGCCACAACAAUCUUGUGAUUGUGAUGAGCUUUUCUGUUGAGAUUGGCCCUUGUGCUACUGUAUAUGCUAUUUGCUGGGGUUUGAUAAUUUUA